This 508-nucleotide ribosomal RNA is filed under the name uncultured Glomus. RNAcentral describes it as "SSU rRNA". It matches the Rfam family "Eukaryotic small subunit ribosomal RNA", at positions 569 to 1081 of the family's 1831-position model. Lineage: Eukaryota; Fungi; Glomeromycota; Glomeromycetes; Glomerales; Glomeraceae. The record is from RNAcentral.
AGCAGCCGCGGUAAUUCCAGCUCCAAUAGCGUAUAUUAAAGUUGUUGCAGUUAAAAAGCUCGUAGUUGAAUUUCGGGAUCAAUACGUCGGUCGUGCUUUCGGGUACGUACUGGCGUCAUUGGUUUCUCCUUUCUGACGAACCAUGAUGUCAUUAAUUUGGUGUUAUGGGGAGUUAGGACUGUUACUUUGAAAAAUUAGAGUGUUUAAAGCAGGCAUUAGCUUGAAUACAUUAGCAUGGAAUAAUGAAAUAGGACGUUCGAUCCUAUUUUGUUGGUUUCUAGGAUCAACGUAAUGGUUAAUAGGGAUAGUUGGGGGCAUUAGUAUUCAAUUGUCAGAGGUGAAAUUCUUGGAUUUAUUGAAGACUAACUACUGCGAAAGCAUUUGCCAAGGAUGUUUUCAUUAAUCAAGAACGAAAGUUAGGGGAUCGAAGACGAUCAGAUACCGUCGUAGUCUUAACCAUAAACUAUGCCGACUAGGGAUCGGAUGAUGUUAAUUUUUUAAUGUACUC